Molecule: ribosomal RNA, 255 nt
Filed under: uncultured bacterium
Lineage: Bacteria
Description: partial 16S ribosomal RNA
Rfam family: Bacterial small subunit ribosomal RNA
Source: RNAcentral
GCAAGUCGAACGGUAACAGGAAAGAGCUUGCUUUUUUGCUGACGAGUGGCGCACGGGUGCGUAACGCGUAUACAAUCUACCUUUUACAGGGGAAUAGCCUUUAGAAAUGAAGAAUAAUACCCCAUAGUAAGUAAAUUUCGCAUGGAAAUUACUUUAAAGAUUUAUCGGUAAAAGAUGAGUAUGCGUUCUAUUAGCUAGAUGGUAAGGUAACGGCUUACCAUGGCAACGAUAGAUAGGGGCCCUGAGAGGGGGAUC